UCCUACGGGGGGCAGCAGUAGGGAAUUUUCGUCAGUGGGCGCAAGCCUGAACGAGCAAUGCCGCGUGAACGAGGAAGGUCUUCGGAUCGUAAAGUUCUGUUGAAGGGGAAAAAGAGCGGAGAGAGGAAAUGGUCUCCGAUUGAUAUUACCCUUCGGGGAAGUCACGGCUAACUACGUGCCAGCAGCCGCGGUAAUACGUAGGUGGCGAGCGUUAUCCGGAAUGAUUGGGCGUAAAGGGUGCGUAGGCGGCCUGCUAAGUCUGGAGUGAAAGGUACCGGCUCAACCGGUACAGGCUCUGGAAACUG
RNAcentral lists this ribosomal RNA (305 nucleotides) under uncultured bacterium. Its description in RNAcentral is "bacterial SSU rRNA". It matches the Rfam family "Bacterial small subunit ribosomal RNA", at positions 337 to 635 of the family's 1533-position model. The record is from RNAcentral.